CUUCAAUUCAUUUGUUUCCUAUUUUAUUUCUUGAAACAUGUAUUGACUAAAGCCUCUGUACCAAUGUUUCAGGACAUGGAGAGGUAGCCGUCCUCCUCCGGCCUCUCCUCCGGUCACAUAAGCUUCUCAACUAUCUGGCUCAUCGUGGGUCUUGAGUCCCUGUCUUCCUCCACACAUUCCAAGGCAACUCCAAUCAGAAUUUCCAUCCGGCGCAGGUCGCAUUCGCCUUGCAUCACAGGGUCCAGGAUGUCUUCAAUCCACGACCCCCUGGCACCAAUCCCAUUCAUUCGAUCCCUCACCCAUUUAAUCAACCCACGCUGCUCUGUCUCUCCUUGGGCAUCAGUAUCGGGGAUAGCAGUUGGGCUCUUCCCUGUCACCAUCUCCAAAACCACGAUUCCAUAGUUAUAAACGUCUACCUUGGAGGUUAUGGGAAGGUUGAAUACCCAUUCAGGAGCCAUGUAUCCUCUGGUUCCUCUGAUCCUCGAGAAACUUGAAUUGUCAAGCCCUCCUCUGUUUCGCAGUUUCGACAUCCCAAAAUCGGCCACUUUUGGCUGGUAAUUAGAGUCCAAGAGUAUGUUCUGAGGCUUGACGUCACAGUGCAGAACCCACUCCAAGCAUUCUUCGUGUAAAUAAGCUAGGCCUCUGGCCGUGCCAAGCGCUAUUUGGAACCUCUUCUCCCAAUCAAGAGUAUUGGAAGAUAGCUUUUGUGCCAAGGAUCCAUGUUCCAUGUACUCAUACACCAACAGCCGGUGCUUCCCCUCUAUGCAAUAUCCCCACGUCUCUAUUAAGUUCAUGUGAUUAAGCCUUCCAAUGGUGCUCACUUCUGCUAGAAAUUCUGCUUCUCCUUGAUUGGCUUCUUUGAGGCGCUUGAUUGCUGCCACUCGACGAUCAAGCAAUACACCUUUAUAUACCACUCCUCCACCUCCUCUUCCAAUCUCUUGGGUGAAACCUCGCGUGGCCUUCUUCAACUUUGCAUAGCUGAAUCUUUUAAACCCGUUUGCAACGAGGAUGUAGCCUUGCAUGGUCGAGACUGGAUCAUGGUGUACCCUAAAUAAGAAAAGCCAUACCAGCAAGACAAUUGCCCCCUCUAGAACUCCCAGUACGUAGGCAAACCAAAGCAAAAACUUCAAUGACCCAUUUUCAUGGCCCUUGCGAUAUGUUGUAUCUAGCUGUAUAUAACGAGUGUUGCCUGAACAAUUCAUGGUGAAUUCUUCAAGAGUGUUGGAAAUCAAGCCAGCAUCCUCUGUUUACUUCCCUAAUUAGUGUAAUGUACAGCCUUUAUUAUAAUUGAUUUAGGAGUAAUUCUAGCAAGGUAGUUUAUUCACUUUCCAUGUAAGAGUAGUUUAUUCACUUCCCAUGUAAGAGUAGUUUAUUCACUUCCCAUGUAAGAGUUUAUUCACUUUCCAUGUAAGGGAAAUUCCAUUCCGGAAUUGUCUCAUAUCUGUAGGCUAUUUAUUUAUGCUUUCAUUCAUUGUAAAGGGUGAGAUCACGGAAUGAAUUGAGGUGUUCCUCCAUAGUUUGUCUUCAAAUUCUUCAUAUUUUUCUUCAAAUUCUUCAAAGAUGAUCAUAUCUGGGAAAGAGACUAGCUUUAGGCAGUUUUAGAUACAUGGUUCCAGGAUAAUUUGGCGAACUGAAUCCAUUAAGCAAGAGGGUAUUUGGGUAACAAUCGUAAAGGUCGUCGCUAAAAUUUAGCAGGAAGGCCUUGCAUUUGCACAACUGUAAGCAUAGAUUUUCACACCUUUCGUAGGUGUAAUUGGGGUAGUGACCAUAGUCAUAGCCGUAGAGUUGAACAUGAGGGAGUGGGAAGAAGCCCACCUCAGUUUGGUUACAAGCGAUAUCAGUUUCUGGUGCACACCCAUAAGACUAGUCAGUUGAAUUUACAAUCUUGAAUCCAGGCAUGCAAGAGCAUCCUCUGCCAUAAGCAGGGGUGUAACUGCAGAGACUAUUGGGUUCGCAGAUGCCAUGAAUCUGGCAUGGUUGGGAGAUAGCCUGCCAUGAAACCGACCAGGUUCCUCUCGUUUCUUCUAGACUAUACAUUCUAAGAUUGCCAUCGAAAUCGAGGGCCAAUCUUCUCUGAGGCCCUGCACCAAAAUCCGCUGACCGAAAUUCCAAAUCAUCUGAUGCUCUAUAAUAACCCAAAGAAUCGAAUACUGCGAUUCGACUGUUGUUGUAUGUGCUCCUUCCAGCAUCCCAGGUCACCAGGCUUAGGUCUGGCCAAUAGAUGCUGGAAACCUCAGUACCAUUGAAGAGAAGGCGGAUGACGUUAUCACUGUCAAAAAAUAGCUUAUAAAAACCAGAAGAAUAGUUGCUUUGGCUUCUUGAGGAGAUAAGGCUGGUAUCUUUGGUCAGUAUCUGGUGAGGAAGAAGAGUAUCUGUGGGUGAGUCAAAGCUCUGCCAAAUCACCGUCUUCUCCCAAGCAUAUAGAACAAGAUUGCCGGUGUUAAGGAGCUGUAAUCUCGCAGAUGAGGUUGAAACUGUCACGCCCCAAGACCCACUCCAAGGGCGUGACGGUCAUUUCACACCUCAAACCCGAAGGCUUAAAGUAUAAUCUGACCCGAACAAUCAUAUUAUAACUAGAUGUUACCAAUUACCAAAUACCUGUUCAGAGUAGCAGAACAAAAUCUAAAUUCCUCAAAAUUCAAUUUCCAAAUAACUUCCAAAUAUCAAAUGAUCCAAAUGAACAUAACUAACAGUUAAACAAAAUCCAACAUAAAAUCCUAAGUCAAAUCUUAAUGAUGACCAUUCUUCAGCCUAGCCAUCACUCCUCACCCGAACUAAGAGUACCUGAAAAUUUUCAACAAUUGGGAAUGAGCUCACAGCCCAAUAAGGAAUAUUAAUGCAAUUCAUGGAUCAAAUAUUUUCAUUUCAAAUAGGAGAUAUCAAUUUUUUUUUUUCUCAUCAAAUAUCAGAGUUCCAAAAAUACCAAUAUAUUCAAAAUUCAACCAACCAAUUUCAUAUCAAAUUCAAACACUUUCACAUAAAAUUCAAUCAAAUUCAUUCAAGUUUCAUUACUCUGGUUAUCAAAUAUCAAAUGCCCAGUUAGGUGGGACUUUUCAAAUGGGUGGCUAGCCUCAAAUUGUUCCUGGUGGACGGAACCUAAACACNNNNNNNNNNNNNNNNNNNNNNNNNNNNNNNNNNNNNNNNNNNNNNNNNNNNNNNNNNNNNNNNNNNNNNNNNNNNNNNNNNNNNNNNNNNNNNNNNNNNCCGAACUAAGAGUACUGAAAAUUUUCACAAUUGGGAAUGAGCUCACAGCCCAAUAAGGAAUAUUAAUGCAAUUCAUGGAUCAAAUAUUUUCAUUUCAAAUAGGAGAUAUCAAUUUUUUUUUUUCUCAUCAAAUAUCAGAGUUCCAAAAAUACCAAUAUAUUCAAAAUUCAACCAACCAAUUUCAUAUCAAAUUCAAACACUUUCACAUAAAAUUCAAUCAAAUUCAUUCAAGUUUCAUUACUCUGGUUAUCAAAUAUCAAAUGCCCAGUUAGGUGGGACUUUUCAAAUGGGUGGCUAGCCUCAAAUUGUUCCUGGUGGACGGAACCAAACACUACUAGUACUAGUAACCUCUAACCAAACCCCUAGAGGCUGGGGUCCAAAUCAAUUACAUUCCCACCAUGAAAUGUAAAGGUCAACUAUUAUAUCCCGUUGAUAGGGCCGAAUAGUCAAUUAUUAUAUCCCGUUGACAAGGGUCAAAUAAACCAGAGUGAUGUUUUUGUUCAAGUUUUCAAAUUUACACAACAUAAUAUCUCCAUAUUUUGUGUCAUAAAUAAAACAAAAUAUUCCAACAUAACAUUUAGUGCAAAACAAUUUGAUCCAUGCAUGGUAACAAAAUAUCAUUUUCUUUUCCACAAUUCAAAAUAACAUAUAAGAUAAUUUAAUUUUAUAAAUAUUACAUUAACUUCCCUUACCUCAAAAGAAGUCCUUGAAAGCUUGGGAGAAGAAUAAUUCUGAAAAAAAAAAUAUAAUCUACUCUUCACCUAAUAUAACAUAAAAGAAACAAUUAUUACUAUUUAUUUAUAAUUUAACUAAUCUAUUCCUUAUUAAAAAAAAAUUAAAAAAUUCCCAAUUGGUUUUUAAUAUACCAUUACUAAUUUAAUUAAAUAAUACCUUUAUUUGGCUAUAAAAUUCUAUAUUUAUAUAUUUAUAUAUGGCUAAUUUUCUUUUUCUUUUUUUACCAAAAAUACCAUUUUUAUUUUUUUUUUAUUUAAAAAUUUAAAACUAAUUUUUUUUUUUUAAUUACCCAAUUCCAACCCAUCCACCUUGGGGUACACCAAACCAAAAAGCAAGUUUUUAUUUUUAUUUUUUAUUUUUUUUUCAUUCCCAACCAGGAUCCAUUAAUAUAUAUAUAUAUAUAUAUAUAUAAAAGGGGCUUCCUGGCACACGCACCUUUUUUUUUUUUUUUUAAUAAAAUUAACCCUAACCUAAAAUCAAAACCUUCCAAGAAAUUUUUUUUUUUUUCUAAUAAAACUUAAGAUCUCCCAAAUUCCAAUACUAAAAUCAAAAUAUUAAAUUUUCACUAUUUGAUAUUAAAACGAAUUAAAAAAAUAAUCUAACCCUAAUCUAGAUUUGGGGUUUUCCAAAAAAAUAUAUCUAAUGUGUUUGAAAUUAAUCAAUGAAUCUAAAAUAUUAAACUAGGGGUUAGAAUCUUACCUAUAGAGAUCUGUUCUUCAACCCUGAAAUCUGACUCCAAUCUUACGUUCUCUGGAAUUCUACGAACAGGAAAUCUAUUCAGAAAAAAAGGGAAAAAAAUAAAAUUUCUAAUUUAUACCUAGGGUAUUUAUUCGUAAAAUUACACUUUUACCCUUCUUCCACUUUAUUAAAUUAAUUAAUUAAUUAAUUUAAUUAUUAAUAACAAUUUCCUAAAUUACCCUUAAAAGAAAAUGCUUGGGCAUUACAUCCUCCCCUCCUUAACAAAAGUUUAGUCCUCUAAACUUGACAUACCUGAGUCUUGAAAUAAUUGAGGAUGUUUUUCUCUCAUCUCUUCUUCUAACUCCCAAGUGGCCUCUCGGAUACUAUGAUUGCUCCACUGGACCUUUACCAACUUGACAACAGCAUGUCGUAGUACCUUAUCCAUCAUAUCCACAAUUUGAACGGGUACCUCUUCAUAGGUCAAGUCCUCAAAAUUUUGAAUAGGCUCCAACUCCACAACAUGAGAAGGAUCAUAAAUAUACUUCCUUAGAGUCGAAACAUGAAACACAUUAUGAACCUUAGACAAGCUUGGGGGCAAGACUACUUUAUAUGCCAAAGUGCCUACUCUUUCUAAUAUUUCAAACGGACCCACAAAACGAGGACUAAGUUUUCCUUUUCUCCCAAAUCUCAUCACAUACUUCAUAGGUGAAACUUUCAAGAACACAUGAUCACCCACCUCAAACUCCAAAUCUCGCCUACGAUGAUCAGCAUAACUCUUAUGUCUACUUUGAGCUGCUUUUAAUAUUUCUUUAAUCAAAGCAACCUUUUCAACAGUCAACUGCACAAGUUCAGGCCCCAAAAGUUUCCUUUCUCCAACAUCAUUCCAAUAGAUAGGAGAUCGACAUUUCCUACCAUACAAUGCCUCAAAAGGUGUCAUCCCAAUGCUAGCUUGAAAACUAUUGUUAUAGGCAAACUCUACUAAAGGUAAAUGAUCAUCCCAAUUACCUUGCAGGUCCAAAAUACAAGCUCUCAACAAGUCUUCCAAAACCUUAAUUACCCUUUCUGAUUGGCCAUCAGUUUGAGGAUGGAAAGCAGUACUAAAACUCAACUUAGUGCCCAAAGUUUUUUGUAGACUAUGCCAGAAUCUAGAAGUGAAACGAGGAUCUCUAUCAGACACUAUAGAAACUGGUACUCCAUGCAUUCUCACAAUCUCCUUCACAUAAAGAGAAGCUAAACGAUCUAAAGAAAAGUUCACUUUCAUAGGUAAAAAGUGAGCAGACUUUGUCAACCGAUCAACAAUCACCCAAAUAGCAUUAUUACCCCCUAAGGUUCUUGGCAAUCCUAUCACAAAAUCCAUGGUAAUAUGCUCCCACUUCCACUCAGGAAUAGCAAGUGGCUGCAAAGACCCUGCUGGUCGUUGAUGUUCAGCCUUCACCUGUUGACACACUAAAUACUGAGCCACAAAUUGUGCAAUAUCACGCUUCAUACCUGACCACCAAUAGUUUUGCCUCAAAUCCUUGUACAUCUUUGUCCCUCCUGGGUGGAUUGCAAACUUGGAACAAUGAGCUUCCUCUAAAAGCUCCCUCUUUAAGUCUUCAUCAUUUGGGACACAAAGUCUAGUCCCAAAUCUCAAGAUCUCAUCAUCUGACAAAACAAAAUCAGGCUUACUGUCCCUCUUAACUUCCUCCAUAACUUGCACUAAUUGGGAAUCAUUCUUUUGUAGGGUCUUAAUUCUCCCAACUAAGUCUGGUUGUACUCUGAAAUUUGCUACAAGUGCUCCUAAGCCCAUAACUCGAAAGUGGACUUGUAAACUCCUCAACUCUUCAAGUAACUGCCUUUGACAACCUCUAAUAGCUGCUAGAGAACCAACUGACUUCCUACUCAAGGCAUCAGCUACAACAUUCGCCUUCCCAGGAUGAUACUGAAUAAUACAAUCAUAGUCCUUAAGUAGUUCUAUCCAUCUUCUCUGUCUUAUGUUCAACUCCUUUUGGGAAAAUAGAUACUUCAAACUCUUAUGAUCUGUGAAUAUCUCACAAGUUUCACCAAAAAGAAAAUGUCUCCAAAUCUUAAGUGCAAAAACCACAGCAGCUAACUCCAAAUCAUGAGUAGGGUAAUUCCUUUCAUAAGGCUUCAACUGUCUAGAAGCAUAAGCUACAACUCUCCCAUGUUGCAUAAGAACACAACCUAAACCCUGAUGAGAAGCAUUACUAUACACCACAAAUCCUCCUGAACCUGAAGGGAUAGUCAAAAUAGGAGCUGACACUAAUCUAUUCUUCAACUCUUGGAAGCUACAUUCACAAUCAUCAGACCACUCAAACUUAACUCCCUUCUGUGUCAACUUAGUUAAAGGUAGGGCAAUCUUAGAGAACCCUUCUAUAAACCGCCUAUAGUAACCAGCAAGUCCCAAGAAACUUCGAAUCUCAGUCACAGUACUAGGUCUUCUCCAAUUAGCUACAGCAUCUACCUUGCCAGGGUCAACUGAGAUGCCAUCAUUGCUUACCACAUGCCCAAGGAAAGAAAUUCAGUCUAACCAAAACUCACACUUCUUCAGUUUAGCAUACAACUGCUUAUCUCUGAGGAUAUGUAAUACAAUACUCAAAUGGCCCUCAUGCUCCUCUCUACUUCUUGAGUAUACCAAGAUGUCAUCUAUAAAAACCACCACAAAUUGAUCUAAAUAGGGUUUGAAUACCCUAUUCAUCAAGUCCAUAAAAGCAGCAGGUGCAUUAGUCAAACCAAAAGGCAUAACAAGAAACUCAUAGUGCCCAUACCUAGUUCGAAAAGCAGUCUUGGGUACAUCUUCCCCUCUAACCCUCAACUGGUGAUAACCCGAUCAAAGAUCUAUCUUAGAGAACACACAAGCACCUUGUAACUGAUCAAACAAAUCAUCAAUCCGAGGAAGGGGAUACUUGUUCCUCACUAUCACCUUAUUCAACUCCCUAUAGUCAAUGCAAAGUCUCAUUGAGCCAUCCUUCUUUUUCACAAAUAGAACAGGAGCUCCCCAAGGUGAAACACUAGGCCUGAUAAAACCCUUGUCUAAUAACUCUUGAAGCUGAACUUUCAACUCCUUAAGCUCCACAGGUGCCAUCCUGUAUGGGGCCUUAGACAUAGGACCUAUUCCUAGUACUAGAUCAAUGGUGAACUCCACCUCUCUCUCUGGUGGCAAGCCAGACAAAUCCUCUGGAAAGACAUCAGGAUACUCUCUUACUAUAGGUAUGUCUUCCAACUUCAAAUCACUUUCAUUACUCACCAUACUAGCCAAAAAUCCUUGGCAACCCUUCUUAAGCAAGCUACUAGCACGCAAGGCUGAGAUCAUACGCAGUGGUCUGUCCACAUGCUUCCCUUCAAAGCUAAACUUAGGCUGACCAGGAAUACUAAAUGUCACUCUUUUCUCAAAACAGUCAACAGAGGCAUGGUAGGAAGCUAACCAAUCCAUACCCAAAAUCACAUCAAAAUCCUGAAGGUCAAGGAGUACUAAAUCAACUGGCAUUUCCCUAUAACCAAUCAUCACAAUACAAUUUCUAAGCAUUCUACUGGCCACAACAGAAUCUCCCACAGGAGUAGCAACAAUCAAAUCAAAGUCCAUGCUAACAACAGGCAAACCCAACAAACCAGCAAAAGAUACUGAAACAAAAGAGUGUGUUGAUCCAGGAUCAAUCAGACUCUAGCAAAUAAGGUGUGGAUUCGGAGAGUACCUGUCACCACAUCAGAAGUGGCCUGAGCAUCUCGAUGAGUCAUAGCAAACACCCGUCCUUGGGCUUUGGGUUUCUGUUUUAUCUCCUUAUUUUCCUCUUUAAGCUUCCCAGUGAUGAACUUACCUAUUCCUCUGAUCAAAUGUCCUUGCNNNNNNNNNNNNNNNNNNNNNNNNNNNNNNNNNNNNNNNNNNNNNNNNNNNNNNNNNNNNNNNNNNNNNNNNNNNNNNNNNNNNNNNNNNNNNNNNNNNNGUGAUAACCCGAUCGAAGAUCUAUCUUAGAGAACACACAAGCACCUUGUAGCUAAUCAAACAAAUCAUCAAUCCGAGGAAGGGGAUACUUAUUCCUCACUGUCACCUUAUUCAACUCCCUAUAGUCAAUGCAAAGUCUCAUUGAGCCAUCCUUCUUUUUUACAAAUAGAACAGGAGCUCCCCAAGGUGAAACACUAGGCCUGAUAAAACCCUUGUCUAAUAACUCCUGAAGCUGAACUUUUAACUCCUUAAGCUCCAUAGGUGCCAUCCUGUAUGGGGCCUUAGACAUAGGACCUGUUCCUGGUACCAGAUCAAUGGUGAACUCCACCUCUCUCUCUGGUGGCAAGCCAGGCAAAUCCUCUGGAAAGACAUCAGGAUACUCCCUUACUAUGGGUAUGUCUUCCAACUUCAAAUCACUUCCAUUACUCACCACACUAGCCAAAAAUCCUUGGCAACCCUUCUUAAGCAAGCUACUAGCUCGCAAGGCUGAGAUCAUACGCAGUGGUCUGUCCACAUGCUUCCCUUCAAAGCUAUACUUAGGCUGACCAGGAAUACUAAACGUCACCCUUUUCUCAAAACAGUCAACAGAGGCAUGGUAGGAAGCUAACCAAUCCAUCCCCAAAAUCACAUCAAAAUCCUGAAGGUCAAGGAGUACUAAAUCAACUGGCAUUUCCCUAUAACCAAUCAUCACAAUACAAUUUCUAAGCAUUCUACUGGCCACAACAGAAUCUCCCACAGGAGUAGCAACAAUCAAAUCAAAGUCCAUGCUAACAACAGGCAAACCCAACAAACCAGCAAAAGAUACUGAAACAAAAGAGUGUGUUGAUCCAGGAUCAAUCAAGACUCUAGCAAAUAAGGUGUGGAUUCGGAGAGUACCUGUCACCACAUCAGAAGUGGCCUGAGCAUCUCGAUGAGUCAUAGCAAACACCCGUCCUUGGGCUUUGGGUUUCUGUUUAUCCUCCUUAUUUUCCUCUUUAAGCUUCCCAGUGAUGAACUUCCUAUUCUCUGAUCAAAUGUCCUUGCUUCCCACAACCAAAGCAAGCUCCAGUCUCUCUAUAGCAUGGCCUACCCCCAUGCUUCUUACCACAAGUAGGACAAGCCCCAUCUAAAUUCUGCGCUGCCUUCCCUUUAUUCUGAUUUCUUCCUGAUGUAGACCUUCGCUGUGCUUGAUUACCAUGAGCACCAUCACUCCUAUUUCGCUUCCUUUGCUGUUCCCUAUACUGAUGAAGCUCUUCAUUAUCUUUCUCUGUUAUAAGGGCUCUGUCAACAACCUCUGAAUAGACACCAAGCUUCAGAAUAGAUAUCUUGUUCUUCAAAUAAGGCUUCAAUCCAUCCUGAAACUUUAAUGCCUUUUCCUCCUCUAUAGCAAUCAACUGUGGGGAAAAACGUGAUAACUUUGUAAAUUUGGCCUCAUACUGAGCCACAGUCAUAUCCCUCUGUUCCAAACGAAUAAACUCUCCCACCUUCUGCCACCUAACACUGUCAGGGAAAUACUUCUUGUAGAAAGCCUCCCUAAAUUGUCUCCAUGUUAUGGGUCCCUGAUCCUCCAAAAGUCUCUUAGUCAUACGCCACCAAUGAUCUGUCUCUUUAUCUAACAUAAAAGCUGCAUAAGAGGCUUUUUGCUCCUCAGAGCAAUCUAUGACACCAAAGAAUUUCUCCAUCUUAAGGAUCCAAGCCUCUGCCUCUGUGGGAUCUGUAGCACCAGAAAAGUAAGGAGGACCCAAUUUCUUGAAGUCAUCAAAAGAGCUACCCCUAGAAGAUGAAGACUGUCCCUGAACAUUAGUCCCAACAGCUCGAGCUUGGCGUUCAACUAAACCAACUAGUGUCCCAAGAUACCUAUAGAUCCCUUCUGCACUCACGGGAGGCAAACCCUCAAUUGGAGGUACAUCGUCAUUAGCCUGACUGUUUUGUGAAGAAGUUGUUCUUCUUGGUGGCAUGAUGUCCUAAAAUAAUAAGGCAUAACUAAAUUAGUCACUAAAGAACCAAUUAGAAAAUUUUCCAAUUAAAGAAAGAAUUGGAAUUUAUACUAAAUGAAACUAAAACUUAAACAAAUGCGUUACUCAUCUAUCCCUAAUCUAAACCAAUUCAAAUUCCCAUCAAGAUCAAAACCUAGUGCUCUGAUACCACUCUGUCACGCCCCAAGACCCACUCCAAGGGCGUGACGGUCAUUUCACACCUCAAACCCGAAGGCUUAAAGUAUAAUCUGACCCGAACAAUCAUAUUGUAACUAGAUGUUACCAAUUACCAAAUACCUGUUCAGAGUAGCGGAACAAAAUCUAAAUUCCUCAAAAUUCAAUUUCCAAAUAACUUCCAAAUAUCAAAGAUCCAAAUGAACAUAACUAACAGUUAAACAAAAUCCAACAUAAAAUCCUAAGUCAAAUCCUAAUGAUGACCAUUCUUCAGCCUAGCCAUCACUCCUCACCCGAACUAAGAGUACCUGAAAAUUUUCAACAAUUGGGAAUGAGUUCACAGCCCAAUAAGGAAUAUUAAUGCAAUUCAUGGAUCAAAUAUUUUCAUUUCAAAUAGGAGAUAUCAAUUUUUUUUUUUCUCAUCAAAUAUCAGAGUUCCAAAAAUACCAAUAUAUUCAAAAUUCAACCAACCAAUUUCAUAUCAAAUUCAAACACUUUCACAUAAGAUUCAAUCAAAUUCAUUCAAGUUUCAUUACUCUGGUUAUCAAAUAUCAAAUGCCCAGUUAGGUGAGACUUUUCAAAUGGGUGGCUAGCUUCAAAUUGUUCCUGGUGGACGAAACCAAACACUACUAGUACUAGUAACCUCUAACCAAACCCCUAGAGGCUGGGGUCCAAAUCAAUUACAUUCCCACCAUGAAAUGUAAAGGUCAACUAUUAUAUCUCGUUGACAGGGCCGAAUAGUCAACUAUUAUAUCCCGUUGACAAGGGUCAAAUAAACCAGAGUGAUGUUUUUGUUCAAGUAUUCAAAUGUACACAACAUAAUAUCUCCAUAUUUUGUGUCAUAAAUAAAACAAAAUAUUCCAACAUAACAUUUAGUGCAAAACAAUUUGAUCCAUGCAUGGUAACAAAAUAUCAUUUUCUUUUCCACAAUUCAAAAUAACAUAUAAGAUAAUUUAAUUUUAUAAAUAUUACAUUAACUUCCCUUACCUCAAAAGAAGUCCUUGAAAGCUUGGGAGAAGAAUAAUUCUGAAAAAAAAAUAUAAUCUACUCUUCACCUAAUAUAACAUAAAAGAAACAAUUAUUACUAUUUAUUUAUAAUUUAACUAAUCUAUUCCUUAUUUAAAAAAAAACUAAUAAAUUCCCAAUUUGUUUCUAAUAACACAUUACUAAUUUAAUUAAAUUAUAACUUUAUUUCGCUAUAAAAUUAUAUAUAUAUAUAUAUAUAUAUAUUGCUAAAUCUCUUAUUCUAUUUAUUACAAAAAUACCAUUAUUACUAUUAUCUUAUUUAUAAAUCUAAAACUAAUUAUUAUUAUUUAAUUAACCAAUUCCAAACCACUCAACCUCGGGUACACCAAACCAAAAAGCAAGUUUUUAUUUUUAUUUUUUAUUUUUUUUCAUUGCCAAUCAUGAUCCAUUAAUAUAUAUAUAUAUAUAUAAAAGGGGCUUCCUGGUACACGCACCUUUUUUUUUUAAUAAAAUUAACCCUAACCUAAAAUCAAAACCUUCCAAGAAAUUUUUUUUUUUUUCUAAUAAAACUUAAGAUCUCCCAAAUUCCAAUACUAAAAUCAAAAUAUUAAAUUUUCACUAUUUGAUAUUAAAACGAAUUAAAAAAAUAAUCUAACCCUAAUCUAGAUUUUGGGUUUUCCAAAAAAAUAUAUCUAAUGUGUUUGAAAUUAAUCAAUGAAUCUAAAAUAUUAAACUAGGGGUUAGAAUUUUACCUAUAGAGAUCUGUUCUUCAACCCUGAAAUCUGACUCCAAUCUUACGUUCUCUGGAAUUCUACGAACAAGAACUAUAUUCAGAAAAGAAGGGAAAAAAAUAAAAUUUCUAAUUUAUACCUAGGGUAUUUAUUCGUAAAAUUACACUUUUACCCUUCUUCCACUUUAUUAAAUUAAUUAAUUAAUUAAUUUAAUUAUUAAUAACAAUUUCCUAAAUUACCCUUAAAAGAAAAUGCUUGGGCGUUACAGAAACGGUGUUGAUCAUCCAAACCAUGAUUUUACCAGCAUCAGUUAAGAUGAGAUUGCCAUUCCUCAACAAAGAAAGCUUGGAGCCUCUACCGUUGACCGGUUGGUCAUGGUUCGCCAUCCAAACUGUGGUUGCACCCCAUGAUUUUGUGAACCAUAUGGCGAAGCAGAAAGUGUUGUUGCCGACCUGAUAAAACCCAGCAGAGAAUAUACCAUUUGCUGAAAUGAGAACAUCAUUUGAUUUCUCCACGGAAAGAGACGAGCCUUCGCUCAGAGUAUCAUACGUUUCAGAUGAAGAUGGAUAGCAAGUUAACAGCAAAACCAAAACAAAGAAACCAACUGUCCUAUCCAUGAGUUUUGGGAUAUGGUUCAUGUGCUCUGUUUCCUGAUCAGAUAUUUGCAAUGGAGAAUGCAAGUGUAUGGUGCUACCAGAGUUUAGAAAAUCAAUUGACUCCUUGACUGGGGUGAAGGGGGAAAAUUCACAUUGCCCCUCGGGCCAAGUUUUGCUUGUGCCAUCGUGUUGGGUUUCUAAAAGCAUUUCAUGUCAACGUCAAAAUAUGGGAUGAAGACCCGCUAUUUUUAAUGGGAUCUAUUUUGAUUGGAUGACUUGGGCCAUUCAAAUUUUGUAGUUUCCACUUGGAACAACAAAAUUAUUAUGAGAUACGUCAUUUUGAAGAAAGAUUCUAGAAAUAAGAUGUUAAAUUGAUCUCUUUUCCAUGUAGCUGAACUCGUCAACUGUGAGUCUGAGCCAUAUGAUUUCUGUGCCAUACAGAAGCUUAUUGUUCCAAGUUGCCUGCUCAAAGGUUAACCUGUGAACAGUUUGGAUCUAAAUACAAUGAAUGUGAUGAAAUUUACUGAAACCGGGACUCUCUGACUGGCCUGUGGCCUUUAUGAGUUUUAUUUUAGAGGUGACGUCUGAUGUUGAUUGGCCCAAGCAGGGAAAGAUCAAAUGGGAAACGACGGUCACAACUUGUGGGGUGACUUUCCACUCACCAGGGAACACUUCAAAGAAAUUAUCCCUAAUUUUUAAACGCUUAAUUAUUGCGAUUCGAGGGGUAAAACAUUUUCUUUUAUUGAAUCAAGAUUGAAUUUAAAAUAAUAGUGUUGGUAUUACUCCCUCUCUUUUAUCCUUUUCUUAUUCUAUCUAAUAGUGGUUUUCUCGCCGCCUUUGUGGGCCAAGAUGAACUAAUGCUAAGAAUUUUAUUCAUCUGCUUUCUUUCAAGACUCACUUAUUGAAUAUAAUAUCUCAAUAAAUAUAGAACCAUAUUUUGAUUAUAUUGGUACAAUUAUUGAUACAACUGUUGGCUCCGCUCAAGUCAUUUUGGCGUGGACUUUUAGGGUAUGGUAGAGUGGAGCUUGUAUCACUACUAAUUAUUAAAAUGGUUAAAGGAUGUCUUUGUCAUUUUAGUGCACAUAUAAUUAUUAUUACAAUUGAGGGUCCUCCAAUAUCCCAUUUUUCCAAUUUUGACUUUUGAUCGGAAAAAAUUUAGUAUACAAGGAUAGGAAAAUAUGCUAAAUAAAAUAAUUUUCUCAUAUUUAGGUUUAUUAAAAAUUAUAAAAAAUAAUAUAAUAUAAUAUAAUUAAAAAGUUAUGUAUUUUUAAAUUAGAUAAUUUUUUUAUAAAACAAUUAAAAUAAGUUAAAUGAGUUUGAAAUUCCAUAUAAAAAUAAUUUAUUGAUUUAAAAUCUAUUUUUAUUUCCUUUAACUUUUUUUCAUAUAUUUUUUUUUUGAAUUUUUCAAAUACUUCAAACAGCUAUUUUUAAGUUUGUAUCUUUGUGAAACUCGUGUAAUCGUGACCCAUGAGAACCUUCAAGUCAUUUUGAUUAUAUUGGUACAAUUAUUGGUACAACUGUUGGCUCCGCUCAAGUCAUUUUGGCGUGGACUUUUAGGUUAUGGUUGAGUGGAGCUUGUAUCACUACUAAUUAUUAAUAUGGUUAAAGGAUGUCUUUGUCAUUUUAGUGCACAUAUAAUUAUUAUUACAAUUGAGGGUCCUCCAAUAUCCCAUAUUUCCAAUUUUGAUUUUUCAAGGUAUGAUCGGAAAAAAUUUAGUAUACAAGGAUAGGAAAAUAUGUUAAAUAAAAUAAUUUUCUUAUAUUUAGUUUUAUUAAAAAUUGUAAAAAAUAAUAUAAUAUAAUAUAAUUAAAAAGUUAUGUAUUUUUAAAUUAGGUAAUUUUUUUAUAAAACAAUUAAAAUAAGUUAAAUGAGUUUGAAAUUUUAUAGAAAAUUAAUUUAUUGAUUUAAAAUCUAUUUUUAUUUUCUUUAACUUUUUUUCAUAUAUAUUUUUUUUUUUGUAUUUUUCAAAUACUUCAAGUAGCACCCCAUUUCCUAUUUUCAAGUUUGUAUCUUCGUGAAACUCAUGUAAUCGUGACCCAUGAGAACCUUCAAGUCAUUUUGAUUAUAUUGGUACAAUUAUUGGUACAACUGUUGGCCCCGCUCAAGUCAUUUUGGCGCGGACUUUUAGGGUAUGGUUGAGUGGAGCUUGUAUAACUACUAAUUAUUAAUAUGGUUAAAGGGUGUCUUUGUCAUUUUAGUGCACAUAUAAUUAUUAUUACAAUUGAGGGUCCUCCAAUAUCCCAUUUUUCCAAUUUUGACUUUUCAAGGUCUGAUCGGAAAAAAUUUAGUAUACAGAGAAAAUAUGAUAAAUAAAAUAAUUUUUUCAUAUUUAGUUUUAUUAAAAAUUGUAAAAAAAUAUAUAUAUAAUUAAAAAGUUAUGUAUUUUUAAAUUAGGUAAUUUUUUUUUAUAAAACAAUUAAAAUAAGUUAUAUGAGUUUGAAACUCCAUAUAAAAAUAAUUUAUUAAUUUAAAAUUUAUUUUUAUUUCCUUUAACUUUUUUUCUUAUAUUUUCUUUCGUAUUUUCCAAAUAUUUCAAAUAGCACUCUAUUCCCAUUUUCAAGUUUGUAUCUUUGUGAAACUCAUUUAAUCGUGACCCAUGAGAACCUUCCCAUAACUACAAAGGAAGGUGGCAACAUAUCAUUGGGAGAGUGUCUUAAGAGCCAAAAUUUGACUAGCGGUUGAAAGGAAAAUGCACAAUUAUUGUAGUGGACAAAUACUUUUAACCUCAUUUGUGGAAGCUAGGUUGUUUUUACAAGGGAAACUUGUGUUCCAAGUUAGAUAUUUGAAAGUAAUAUUAUAUUCAAACCCCAAUUAGCUGGAAUAUGAGAUUUGACUAUUAAAAGAGAAAAUAUUAUUGUGUUUGUGCAUUCUAAGUUGGCUCUAUCUUCUAUGCCCAAAUUGCCCUUUUGUUUCUCUAGCUCAACAUCAUCCUAACCUCUUUGUCAACAGGACCACUAAAAUUAAGAAAAAACACUAAAUUUUGAAUUUUUAACUUCUAAAAAAAAAAACACCCGACCCGACCACUUAAUUUGAAUGUUUUCCUUUCUCAUUUGGAAGCUUUCUCUCAUCUUUCUUCAUUCAUGACAACCCAAAAUUUCUCCUAUUUCAAUUUAGAAACCCAAAUCUGAAACUCUAAAACGGUGUCAAAAUGCGUCUUUUGACGUGCCUCUGGCUCAGAUGCCUCAGCUAGGCGUUUGCCUUGAGCCCUAACCGUAGUUAACUCUCGUCUAGGAGCCACGAGAGUGCAAGAGAAUCCAAUAAAAAUGAAAUGGAGCUCGGGUGGAGAGUAGAUGCCCAAAAACUGAAACCUUAACCUCCAAAUGCGUCUUAGACUCGCAAAUUCAUAUCCAAGAUAGUUCUAUAAGACAGAAAUAGCACCAAACAUCUCUUUUAGACCACCGAAUCGACGAAGCCCUUGAAGAACCAAAGGAAACGGUGCAAAAAAUGAAGCGCGGGAAACUCUUAAAGUAUUGGGUCUUGACAAAAAGAAUAUUAAGAAAAAUAGGUUUUUAAUAUCUUAUUUUAGUAUAAAAAUAAAAAAAUAAGAUAUAAUUAAAAACUUGUAUAUUUUUAAAUUAUUUGAUAUUUAUAUAAAAAAUAAUAUAUUAACUUAAAUAAGUUUAAGAUAGCAUAUAAAAUAAUUUAUCAGCUUUAAAUUUUUUUUUUACUUUUACAUGAUACUUAAAAAGGAAUAUAAAUAGAGAAACAAUAUACUAAAUAAAAUAAUUUUAUCUAUAUAUAAAAAUAAUUUAUUAAUUUAAAAUCUAUUUUUAUUUCCUUUUAACCUUUCUUUCCUUUUUUUUUUUUUUUUUCCAUAUUUUCCAAAUACUUCACAUAGCACUCCACUCCCUAUUUUUUUUUUCUCUCUAAAUUUCAGAAACCAAACAUAAAAUACAAACACUGGUGUAAAGUUUGUAUCUUUGUGAAACUCAUGUAAUCUUGACCCAUAGGAACCUUCCCAUAUAAUUAAAGGAGAAUUACCCAAUAGGGUGGGCUUGGUAAAACAAUUACUAGAAAUGGUAGUCUCUUCUAAUAAUUCUUGGGGAGGAUUUUAAUAGGUUUAAUAUACCAAAACUGUCAUUUAACUAAAAUUUUUAAAAUUCAAAGUAUUUAAAGCACUUCACUUGAUUUGUCGAUACAAUUAUAGUACAUGAGUCUCAUAUUUAUUGUAAUUAUUAAUAUUCAAAUUUUAAAUCAAAAUUUUGGGUUUAACCUUUACAAUUAUAUAUAAUUUGUUAUUUAAAUUUACUAUUUAAAACAAAAAUACUUUUAAAAAGUAUUUUCAAAAUAUCAUUUAUUGUUUUUUUUACAUUUUUUAUUUUUAUUCUAAUUUUUAAUUUUAUUAAGAAAAAAAUAAGUUUUAUAAUUAUAUAAUAAAAAUGAUGAUUUUUUCAUAUAUAUAUAUGUAUAUAUUAUAAUUUUAAAUUGAUAAAUUAUGUUUUUGUUUUAAAUUCAAGGAAGAUAAAAUGUUUAAUUUUUCAUUCAGAUUCUUUAAAAAGAAUAAGAAAAUGAUAGAGAAUGUUUAAUAAUUUUUUAUUUUUAUAAUAAAAUAAUUUUAAAAAAUUUAUAUGAUUUUUUUUCCUUUGCAUAGUGUUUUUUUUUUUUUCAUAUAAAAUUUUUUUUCUCAGUACAUCGACUGGAUGAUGUUAAUAUAUUUGAUAUGUUGAAUAUUAAUAAGGUAUAAAAGGUGAUCAUCGAGAUUAUUACUUUUAUUAUAAAAUAUAGGUACAACAAAAAUAUGUUAUAAUUACCAUAUAAAUACACUUACAUUACAAUAAAACCUAAUUAGGAAAUUUUUGAAUUUUUUUAUAAAAAUGAUAAUUUGGUAAGAUCAUACCAUAUUUUAUAACAUACCUAUAUCAUAAAUAAUUUCUGAAACCAAAUGAAAUACUAAUUUGAAUUCACGAGACUUGUAGUUUAUAUAUAUAAAUGAUUAAAUAAUUUCAAAACACUAAAUAAAUGUUGUUAAUAUAUUGAUACGAUGCGUUAAUACCAACGGGGUAUGAAUAAACAUUUUUAAAAUUAUUCCUUUUGUAAUUAAAUAUAGAUAUGACAUAAAUACAUUAUACUUACAAUAUAAAUACGUGUUAUCAUUACAAUAUAUUACAAUAUAAUUUAAUUUAUUUUUAUUUAAUUUUUUCAAGUGUUAUAUUAUCCAAUGAAUAAUUGUGAGUUAUUCUAUUUAAUAGGUGUGUGUUAAUCAAUUGAAUAUUUACAUAUUAUUCAAUUGAUGAGUGCUCGUAAAAAAUAAUUAUUCAUUAUAUUAUGAUAACAAAGUUUUUAAUUAUAUGUUUUAUAUAUAAAACAAUAUAAUAAUUUUAGGAUAUGGUUUUUAUUUAUGAGAUAAUGAAAAUUAUAUUUUUUUAUAAGGUUCUUUAUAAAAUAUAGCAAAUUUUUAAAUAAUCAUUUGAUUGUUCAAAAGUUAAUAAUAAUUUUUUUAAGCUGAGAAAUAUAUUAUUGAUUACUUAUCAUCAUGCAUGAAUUCCACAACAAUCUCAAUUUAUUUAUAAAUAAUAUAAAAACAUAUUAUAGGUAAAAUUAUCUAUAACCGAGAGAGCCUUCAUAAUAAUUAGUUUUUUGGGCUACCCUGUUCGGUAAUUCUCCGUACAAUUAAUUUCCAGCAAAGGCAGGUGAGUGUUGAGGAGACAAAAUCUGACCCGCUGUUGAAGGGAAAAUGCACAAUUAUUGAAGUGGACGGAAACUUUUAACCUUAUCUGUGGAAGCUGGGUCGUUUUUCAAAACACGAGGCUGCAGCUUGGAACCUGGGGCAUUCUAGCUUUCAUCUUCCCAUGGGAAUUUCUACCCUCCGCACAAGUCAAGAGCAACUUUGUCUUUUCCAUAAAUAUUAGUAUUAUUUGUGUGUUCCUUACCUGAAUUUGAUUCAAGCUUAGCCCUACGGCCUUUUCAACUGAUCCAAUUUCAUAGAUCACAUGGAUGCGCCAGUUCUUUUGCUUCUUCUCACUCUGCUUCUAUCUUCUCCACUUCCAUCGUCCACCCUCGACAGUUUGAGUCAAGGCUCAUCCCUCUCAGUUGGGAAGCCUGAACAAGUUUUGAUUUCACAAAGUGGAAUCUUCUCAGCUGGCUUCUACCCCGUCGGUGAUAAUGCUUGUUGUCUUGCCAUAUGGUUCACCAAACCAUCCUACGACGGCAAACAUACCGCUGUUUGGAUGGCAAACCGAAACCAACCAGUUAAUGGGAAUUUCUCAAAGCUUUCCCUUCUAGAAAGUGGUGAUCUUAUCUUAACAGAUGCUGGGCGGUUCAUAGUUUGGACCAUAAAGAGGGUUGGGAUUUCUCCGGUGCAAUUACACCUCUUCAACACUGGUAACCUUGUGCUGCGUACCUCGGAUGGUGUUAUUCAAUGGCAAAGUUUCGAUUCACCAACAGAUACCCUUCUCCCUCACCAACCACUCACCAGAAAUACGAGACUCGUCUCUUCAAGAACCAAAACCAACUUUUUCUCAGGGUUUUAUAAGCUCUAUUUUGACAACAAUAACGUCCUCAGUCUUGUCUUCGAUGGGCGGGAUGCUUCAAGCAUUUACUGGCCCCCAUCGUGGCUUGUAAGCUGGCAGGCGGGAAGAUCGGCAUACAACAGCAGCAGAACUGCAUUACUAGAUUACUUUGGCUAUUUUUCUUCAACCGACGAUUUUAAGUUUCAGUCCUCGGAUUUUGGUGAGAGAGUCCAAAGAAGAUUGACCCUGGAUAUUGAUGGCAACUUACGAUUAUACAGUUUUGAGGAAGGGAGAAAUAAGUGGGUUGUUACUUGGCAAGCCAUCACGCUACAAUGCAACAUUCAUGGAAUAUGCGGACCCAACAGUAUUUGUACCUAUGUGCCUGGUUCUGGGAGUGGAAGGAGAUGCUCUUGCGUACCUGGAUAUGAGAUGAAAAAUCGCACUGACCGAACUUAUGGAUGCAUACCAAAAUUCAAUCUUUCUUGCGACUCACAGAAGGUUGGUUUCCUCCCACUCCCACACGUUGAGUUCUACGGCUAUGAUUAUGGCUAUUACCUCAAUUACACCUUACAGAUGUGUGAAAAACUGUGCUUGAAAAUAUGUGGCUGCAUAGGAUAUCAAUACAGCUAUAAUUCGGAUGUUUAUAAAUGUUGUCCUAAGCGGCUGUUUCUCAACGGAUGCCGCUCGCCUAGUUUUGGAGGACAUACAUAUCUAAAAUUGCCUAAAGCUAGUCUUCUUUCCUAUGAAAAACCAGUUGAGGAAUUCAUGUUAGAUUGCUCAGGCAACCGCUCAGAGCAGCUAGUAAGAUCUUAUGCAAAAGCCCGCGAAAAUGAAGUGUUAAAGUUCAUCCUCUGGUUUACGUGCGCAAUUGGAGCAGUUGAGAUGAUUUGCAUCAGUAUGGUGUGGUGUUUCUUGAUGAAGGCCCAGCAAAACACCAGUACAGAUCCGCCAGGCUACAUUUUAGCUGCCACGGGAUUCAGAAAAUUCACCUAUAUUGAGCUGAAGAAAGCAACACGGGGUUUCAGUGAGGAGAUUGGCAGAGGAGGGGGUGGGGUUGUAUAUAAAGGUGUCUUAUCAGACCACCGAGUGGCAGCCAUCAAGCAGCUCAGUGGAGCUAACCAAGGAGAAUCUGAAUUCUUGGCAGAAGUAAGUACCAUUGGGAGGCUUAACCACAUGAACUUGAUAGAGAUGUGGGGUUAUUGCUUUGAGGGGAAGCACAGGCUCUUGGUUUAUGAAUACAUGGAGCAUGGAUCACUAGCACAAAACCUCACUUCCAAUACACUUGAUUGGCAGAAGAGGUUCGAUAUUGCGGUGGGCACAGCAAAAGGUCUGGCUUAUUUACACGAAGAGUGCUUGGAGUGGGUUAUACACUGCGAUGUGAAGCCUCAAAACAUACUCCUAGACUCUAAUUAUCAGCCAAAGGUGGCAGACUUCGGCCUGUCAAAGUUACAGAACAGAGGAGGAAUCAACAAUUCGAGAUUGUCGAGGAUCAGAGGAACGAGAGGUUACAUGGCUCCAGAAUGGGUUUUGAACCUCCCCAUCACCUCCAAAGUAGACGUUUAUAGCUAUGGUAUUGUGGUUCUGGAGAUGAUUACCGGCCUAAGAAGUGUUGCAAAUGCCAUCCACGGUACAGAUGGCAUAGGGGAACGUCAGAGUUUGGUGGCAUGGGUGAAAGGGAAGAUGAAUAGUGCAACUGCAGUUGCUUCGUGGAUUGAAGAAAUCCUAGACCCGUCGAUGGAAAGCCAAUAUGACAUGGGUGAGAUGGAAAUUCUAGUAGCAGUGGCUCUGCAAUGUGUGGAAUUGGACAAGGAUGAAAGACCCACCAUGAGUCAGGUGGUCGAGACGCUUCUCCGCCCUGAACGUGGAAACAAUCAUCACUAUUAAUAAAUCAAUGCCUCGUAUGGGGCCCAAGUGAAGUGGCUUUCUAUACCUAUUCCGCCCAUUUAUGAUAUUUGUAAAAAAACAGAGUAAUUUUAUUCCCAAUAUCUCUCCUUGGUGCUCUUAUCUUAUUAAACUCCUUUUUUUUUUUUUGCAAUAUUAACUAUUAUAUUUUAUAAAAUCCUUUUUAAAAUUUGUUGAAUUUGAUCUAUUUUAUCCUCACAUAAUUUGUAGCAGGAGAAGUUUUUCUCCUCAUCAUAGAACAAAUUCUUAUAUAUGUAGUAUACAUAUAUGAAAGGUAUAAAUGGUUUUAGCUUUAGUUGAUAUCAUAUAAUUUCUCAUUGAAUCUAUUCUAAUGUGACUUUAAAAUUUUUCAAAAUAUAAAUCAAUUCCUCUUCCUUUGUGUGUUAGUGAAUGAAUUAGUUUAAAUGUCAUAGGUUUUGACUUUUUAGACAGCUAUUUAACCUAUUUUAAAUAGCUCUGCAUCACACCAUCACUUCAACCUUCCUUGACAUUUUUUUAUUUAUUUAUUUUAAUUACCUUUGGAUGGUAUCAUUGCUCGGAAAAAUUUGAUGAAUGUAAAAGGGAAAUGGAAAAUCGUGGGGCACACAUACAUUAUGGAGUCAAAAUCUUUGAAAGAUGUAAAAUUGUCGUGCAAUUCAAUCUAAUGUAGAUGGACAAAAAUGUCAUCUUAUUGAUCAAGCAUAGAUGGAAAAUCAAAUGAAUGAGCCACCCUGCAAAUGUUUAUUUUCAAGUAUUUCUUUUUUUUUUUCAACUUAAGACCUCUUUUUGGAAAUUUAUUAUUAAAAAUAUUUUAAUCUCUAAUUUUUUAUAAGUGUCUUUUCAUAAGCAUGUUGAUUAGAAAGAAACAAAAAUAUAUUUUUAAAUUAUUUAAUCUAACACAAGAAAGACAAGUAAAAUUUUAUAAAAAUAAUUUAUUAAUUUUAAAUUUAUAUUUUAUUUUCAUUCAUUUGACAUACCUUCAAUAAUUAGUAUAAAUUAAUAUAAAUGUUUUAUAUAAUUCGUUUACAUGCAUUGUAUAUUAUGUACAAACAGGAACAAAAUGAAUGAGCCACUGUAUGUGACAAAUAAAUACAUUUUUAUAAAAUCUAAAUUUAAUUUUAUAGUAUAUGACAUGGAUUCUGGCGUCAUCUUCCACAUCACUGAACUUCUUCUUUACCUAUUUCAUUGUUCUCUGCUUCCAACGCUUCCCACUAUGAACGUCUCUAGAAAAAACUGUCCGGUGUGGCUCUCCUCUUGGCUCUACCACAGUUGAGAUUUUCGGCUUGAUGCCUUCGCUCUAUCUCAGGUGGUCGGCUUUGGAGCAUGGAUGGCUGCAGAUCUGCCAAGUUGUUGGCCAUGAAUCUCCCGAAUCCACUUGCUGCUAACCGUUUGUAUUAUUCAAUUGUUGAAGGCCGAUUUGAGUUGAAAGGCCAAUGGGCCAUGGGAAGCAAUGGUUGCUUCACCCAAUUUUUUAAAAUUCGUUUUAAGUAAUACCAAAAUUUUUAUUGUAUGAAGUAUUGAUGUUAUUAUUAUCUUUUCAUAUUGAUUUUAUUUUUUAAUUUUUUUUUCUUAGGAUUUUUUUUCUUUUCACUUUUUCUCCCACCUUUCUUUUAUUUAUAUUUUCUCAUAAUCAAAUAUGGCCUUAAAUUUAAUCGCAAGCAAAGUGUUAUGUAGACAAUUAAUAUGUUCUUACUAUUUUGCUUUUAUGGCCAUUAAAUUUAAGGACUUCAGGUGAUGGCAAUAGGGUGAUUUUUUUUAGGUAAUAGUCCAACCUGCUUCUAAUAGGAUGAGUUUGAAAUUUAAAUAAAUGAGUUUGAAGUAAAUUUAAGUUUUUUUAAACUCAAAAUGAGUUUGGAUAUUGUCACAUCCCAAUUAUAUAUAAAAUUAAUUUAAUUUGAUUUUUUAUUUUUUUAUUUUUAAUAAUAAUAAUAAUAAAAAAAUACUUUUUUAAUAAAAUAAGUUAUAAAAAUUUAUAAUAAUCUAAUUAUAUAAAAUAUCUUUAUUUUAAUGUAAUUAAAUACUCUAAUAAGUUAUAAAAAUUUAUAAUACUCUAAUUAUAUAAAAUACAUUUUAAAUAAUUUUAAAUGAGGUAAGGUAGGACGAGUAUGAGAAUUUUUUUUACCUAUCCCACCCCGUCCUGUCAUGUUUAAUUUUUUUAAUGGUACAAGGUUGGAAUAUGUGCUUUCUAUUCUAAACCGGUCUCAUUAUCAUCCCUUCAUGUGUCUGCAUGAAUAUAAGAUAUUAGUGAAAAGUUUGAAGUAUGAUAUUAAAAAUUCAAUUCACCAUUUAUUUUGUAAUUAUACUUCUAAAUAUAAGCAUGAAAGGGCGAAUUGACAUAAUAGAAGGCCUAACUGCUCAUGUUUUUAUUUAUUUAAAUUAAUAUUUAUUAAUAAUUUAUUUAUGUAAUAAAAAAUUUGUAAUUCAAAAUUUGAUUUUACUAAGUGAAGUACCUGAUGUCCAGAACUGGAGGAACCUAAAGAAAGAGAAGAACAAAAAGUGACACCAAGACAUAUCCCAAAAGCCUAAUGGCCCAUCCCCCUACAAAUUCUAGCUUUAUAAUUAUUGUCCUAAAAGAAAAAGAUGAACAAGUGUUUUUUCGUCAUAUAAUGUUAAAAAAUUAAAGUAUCAAUUUUUUUUUUUUAAACUUUCUACCAAAAAUAAUUUAAUUUCAUAUUUCUAAUUGUUUUUUUUAAACCUUUUGUCACUUAUUAUUUAUUUUUUAAAUAUUUUUACUAAAUUUAAAAAGAAAAAAAUAUAUAUAUUUUAAAUAUUAAAAAUAAUCUAUUAAUUUUUCUUUACUUAAUAAAAAUAAUAUAUUUAAAAAAAUAAAUAACUUAAUAAUUAAUAUUAUUAAACACUAUUUAAUUUUAAAUUCAAUUUACAAUUAAGUUUAAAAAACACCACUUAAAUGUCAUUAUUGCAACGGACAACAACAUUAACUCUACUCUUUUAUAAAAUCUUUUAUUUUAGGAAAUUUUAAUUUCCAAAUGAAGUAGUUAAGAGAAAAAUAAACAUUGUGGUUGAACUUAAUCGAAAUAAAUAAACCAUAAAAAAACACUUGAAUGGAUUAAGGACCCUUUUUUUACGCCAAGGUGGUGGUGAUAUAUUGAUUUGAGUAAGAAUUUUAUAAUUUCCCAAAAGAAAGAUAAAGUGGAAAAGCAACAUUUAUUAAAAGAUAGAUACAUUAGAAUAUCAUAUCUAAAUUUAGUAUUUUUCUUUUCUCUUCUUUAUAAAACUAAAUAAUAGAAAUCAAAUACUUUUUCCAACUUCUCGUACUGAACCGUUUCGUUUUUCAUUUCAUCUAAUUUUACCUUCAAUUCAUUUCUUUCCUAUUUUAUUUCUUGAAACAUGUAUUGACUAAAACCUCUGUACCAAUGUUUCAGGACAUGAAGAGGUAGCCAUCCUGCUCCGCCCUCUCCUCCGGGCACAUAAGCUUCUCAACUACCUGGCUCAUCGUGGGUCUUGAGUCCCUGUCUUCCUCUACACAUUCCAAGGCAACUCCAAUCAGAAUUUCCAUCUGGCGCAUGUCGCAUUCGCCUUGCAUCACAGGGUCCAGGAUGUCUUCAAUCCACGACCCCCUGGCACCAAUCCCAUUCAUUCGAUCCCUCAUCCAUUUAAUCAACCC
Molecule: long non-coding RNA, 24935 nt
Filed under: Vitis vinifera (wine grape)
Lineage: Eukaryota; Viridiplantae; Streptophyta; Magnoliopsida; Vitales; Vitaceae
Description: long non-coding RNA (VVIN_LNC006009)
Source: RNAcentral